RNAcentral lists this ribosomal RNA (523 nucleotides) under Amphioctopus fangsiao. Its description in RNAcentral is "partial 16S ribosomal RNA". The record is from RNAcentral. Lineage: Eukaryota; Metazoa; Mollusca; Cephalopoda; Octopoda; Octopodidae.
GAUUUAUUUAUCUUAAUAUAUAUAUAUAUAUAUAAUAGUUAACGUGGUAUAGUUAUUAUUUUAAGGUUAAAUGGUAAUGAAAUGUUAUUCGAUUUAUAUGGUAGCUAGUUUAUUUAUUAUAUACAUUUUAGUGUUAUUUAAGAUUAAUUAUAUUUAGUAGUUAGUUUUGAUUUAAUUAUUAAGGGAUAAGCUUUAAUUUAUUUAUUGUGAGAAUAAUUUAUAAUUUUUAUAAAUAGUUGAGGUUGGAUUAAUAUUCUUUCUUUAUAUUAUUAUAUUAAUAUUUGUAUUUGUUUUAAUUCUUUAUAUUAUAUUAAAUAAAUUUUUUAUUAUUAAUUUUAAAAUUAAAUAUAAUGUUAUAAUGAGUAUUAUAUAUAGUUUAAAUAUAUAUUCGUAAAUUUUUGUAAAGUUUAGAUUUUUUUGUUUAUAUAUUUAUAUAUUAUUUAAGUGAGUUAAAGGAAUUCGGCAAAUAUUAAUUUCGCCUGUUUAUCAAAAACAUGUCUCUUUGAUAGUUUUUAAUAGAGAG